GAGAGUUUGUAACACCCGAAGUCGGUAGGGUAACCUUUAUGGAGCCAGCCGCCGAAGGUGGGACAGAUAAUUGGGGUGAAGUCGUAACAAGGUAGCCGUAUCGGAAGGUGCGGCUGGAUCACCUCCUUU
Molecule: non-coding RNA, 129 nt
Filed under: Listeria monocytogenes
Lineage: Bacteria; Bacillati; Bacillota; Bacilli; Caryophanales; Listeriaceae
Description: partial 16S ribosomal RNA
Rfam family: Bacterial small subunit ribosomal RNA
Source: RNAcentral